GGCGGUAUAGCCAAGUUGGUAAGGCAGAGGAUUGCAAAUCCUUGAUUUCCUCAGUUCAAGUCUGAGUGCCGCCU
This 74-nucleotide transfer RNA is filed under the name Prototheca cutis. RNAcentral describes it as "tRNA-Cys". It matches the Rfam family "tRNA". From Rfam's summary of the family: Transfer RNA (tRNA) molecules are approximately 80 nucleotides in length. Lineage: Eukaryota; Viridiplantae; Chlorophyta; Trebouxiophyceae; Chlorellales; Chlorellaceae. The record is from RNAcentral.